This 465-nucleotide ribosomal RNA is filed under the name uncultured bacterium. RNAcentral's name for it is "partial 16S ribosomal RNA". It matches the Rfam family "Bacterial small subunit ribosomal RNA", at positions 338 to 795 of the family's 1533-position model. The record is from RNAcentral.
CCUACGGGUGGCUGCAGUGGGGAAUAUUGUGCAAUGGGCGAAAGCCUGACGCAGCGACGCCGCGUGAGGGAUGAAGGUCCUCGGAUCGUAAACCUCUGUCAGCAGGGAAGAACGGUCACUGUGCUAAUCAGCAGUGAAUUGACGGUACCUGCAAAGGAAGCACCGGCUAACUCCGUGCCAGCAGCCGCGGUAAUACGGAGGAUGCGAGCGUUAAUCGGAAUUACUGGGCGUAAAGCGCGCGUAGGUGGUAUGUCAAGUCAAGGGUGAAAGCCCCGGGCUCAACGUGGGAACUGCCUUUGAAACUGGCAGACUGGAGUGUGGGAGAGGAUAGUGGAAUUCCAGGUGUAGGAGUGAAAUGCGUAGAUAUCUGGAGGAACAUCAGUGGCGAAGGCGACUAUCUGGCACAUAACUGACGCUGAGGAGCGAAAGCGUGGGUAGCAAACAGGAUUAGAUACCCCAGUAGUC